RNAcentral lists this ribosomal RNA (274 nucleotides) under uncultured bacterium. RNAcentral describes it as "partial 16S ribosomal RNA". It matches the Rfam family "Bacterial small subunit ribosomal RNA", at positions 523 to 796 of the family's 1533-position model. The record is from RNAcentral.
AUACGGAGGGUGCGAGCGUUAAUCGGAAUUACUGGGCGUAAAGCGUACGUAGGCGGUUGGUUAAGUUAGAUGUGAAAGCCCCGGGCUUAACCUGGGAACUGCAUUUAAAACUGACGAACUAGAGCUGAGUAGAGGGGAGUGGAAUUUCAGGUGUAGCGGUGAAAUGCGUAGAGAUCUGAAGGAACACCAGUGGCGAAGGCGACUCCCUGGACUCGAACUGACGCUGAGGUAUGAAAGCGUGGGUAGCAAACGGGAUUAGAAACCCUAGUAGUCC